This 713-nucleotide long non-coding RNA is filed under the name Homo sapiens (human). RNAcentral's name for it is "non-protein coding LINC02367:8". The record is from RNAcentral. Lineage: Eukaryota; Metazoa; Chordata; Mammalia; Primates; Hominidae.
GGGAGAUUCUCCUGGGUUACCUGGCUGGGUCUGAUGUAAUCACAGGAGUCCUCAUUAGAGGGAAGCAGAAAGACCAAAGUCAGAGACGGAGAUGUGGCCGUAGAAGCAGAGGUCCAUGUGCUGCGGGGCCAUGAGCCAAGGAACCCACGCCGCCUCUGGGAACUGGGAAAGGCAAGGGAGCAACGUCUCCCUGGAGCUCCAGAGUGAGCCAGCCCUGAUGACACCGUGACUUCAGCCCUCGGAGACUGACUGUGGACAUCGGACCUCUGUCACUAUUUUCUGCAAACUAGGAAUAGAAGCAAGCUUCUUAACCUGAUGUAUCGCACCUUCAAAAAGCCUACAGCAAACAUCUUACUUAGUGAUGAAAAACUGAUUGCCUUCCCCAUAAGAUUGAGAACCAGGCAAGGAUGUUUACUCUCAUCACUCCUAUCCAACAUGGUACUGGAAGUCCUAGCCAAUACAAUAAGGGAAGAAAAUGACACAAAAUAAAGGUAGUAAGAUUAGAAAGAAAGAAAUUGUCUCUAUUCACAAACAAGGUGAUUUCUUUUCCUUUUUCUUCUUUUUUUUUUUAAGAGACAGGUUCCUUCUCUGUCACCCAGGCUUAAGUGCGAUCAUGGCUCAUUGUAUCCUCAAACUCCUGGGCACACACAAACAGUCCUCCUGCCUCAGCCUCCCAAGUAGCUAGGACUACCGGUGCAUGCUGCCAAGCCCAG